Molecule: RNA transcript, 6111 nt
Organism: Pogoniulus pusillus (Red-fronted tinkerbird)
Lineage: Eukaryota; Metazoa; Chordata; Aves; Piciformes; Lybiidae
Gene: TSC22D1
Gene name: TSC22 domain family member 1
Exons: 5
Source: RefSeq, a predicted model, not a curated record
GGCCCCCAGAAGAGGCAGACAGGGGCACCUGGGGGAACGAGGCAGCCGGGUAGGCAGGCGGCUGCCCAGUACAGCCACAGCCUAGCCCCCGCCUGGCGCCCCCUCCCCAGCUCGGAGCGCCGCCACGCGGGAACACCCCCGCCCUUCCCCCUCCUUGGGUUCGGCGCCGCUCGGCAAUUUCCGCCACGCGAGCCGAACCUAUUUCCGUCAGCCCCGGCCAGACGGGCUUUAUGUCUGCCAGCGGGCCGCGCAUGCGCGGCGGCCGCCGCCAUCUUACGUUGUCUCUCGCCUGCCCUCCCCUUUGGCGAGCUUUCCCCUCCCCCUGCAGCCCCGCGCAGCGCCCUCCUCCAGCGCUCCGUGAGGAGACGGGGCCGGGCGGGGGACAGACCCGCGGCGGCGGGGAAGCCGGGAGAGACCCGGAGGGAAGAAAGGACGAGGUGGACGCGCACGCUGAAGGUGGACGGAUCCCAAGCGCAGUUCUGCUGCGGAGGAAGAGCGGGUGCCGCCUGUUAUAAAGAGGGGAGGAGGCGGAGGGGGAAGGAAGAGCGUGCGGAGCAGAGCCUCCUCCAGAGACAGCCAGACACAGAGGGAGGAGAGAGAGGCUGCCUGGCUGGCUCCCCCGUUCUCCCUCCCGCUCUCCUUUUUAUGGACUCUCUUGUUGGGUUGCUGCUGCGUUUCUUCCCUCCUUAUUUCAUCUUUUUAAUACCCAAAAUGAUUCAGCUCCAUGGCUGCCACUGACGGGGAUGUCCCUGCCCGGCUCAGCCUGCCGCUGCCGCCCUACUGUGCGCCAGUCCUCCUGACUCAGCCGCAGACAUUAGUGCUAGGAAGAUGGCGCACCCGGCAAUGUUUCCUAGAAGGGGCAGCAGCAGUAGCAGCGGCAGCAGCUGCGUUACUGCUCCCACUGCGCCAGGUACCGGCGUUGGGAGCACUGCCCUCUCCGCCGAGGAUUAUCAGCCGCCGUUGUUGGUCCAGCCGCCGCCUGCAUCUCCUGCAGCAUCUUCCUCAGCGGGUCCACAGCCGACACCCCCUCCUCCACAAAGCCUGAACCUCCUCUCGCAGUCUCAGCUCCAGCCACAGCCUCUUGUGCAGACUGGAGCUCAAAUGAAAAAGAAAAGUGGCUUCCAGAUUACCAGUGUGACCCCUGCUCAAAUAUCAGCUAGUAUGAGCUCUAAUAACAGCAUAGCUGAGGAUACAGAAAGCUAUGAUGACCUGGAUGAGUCCCACACUGAAGACCUGUCAUCUUCAGAAAUCCUGGAUGUUUCUUUAUCCAGAGCCACUGACUUGGGAGAACCUGAGAGGAGCUCCUCUGAAGAGACUUUAAAUAACUUCCAAGAGGCAGAGACUCCUGGGGCCGUUUCUCCAAACCAGCCUCACCUUCCUCAGCAGCAUGCUCCUCUGCCUCAUCACCCACAGCAGAGUGUUGUGAUCAAUGGAAGUGUUCACCCCCAUCAUGUUCAUCACCACCAUCAUCUUCAUCACCACCAUCAUGGACACCAUCAUCCAUCACAUCCUGGGAUGGGCAGUGCCCCAAUUUCUGGAGGCCCACCACCUAGCCCAUCAUUUAGAAAGCUAUCAACAACUGGAAGCUCUGACAGUGUAAUAUCAACGGCACCAGUUUCUGCUGCAUCAUCCACUGGUUCCUCAGCAUCCGUUGUGUCUAAUAUCCGCACUACAAAUACUCCUGGCAAUUUAGGUAUAAGUCCUGCUGCUGGAACUAGUACCUUAAAUAAUAUGGGUGGUGGUAGUUCUAGUGUGGCAAGCAAUGUGCUUGGUACUAUGAAUUUAAACAACAUCACAAGUACUGGUAAUGUAAAUGCUUUGUCUGGAACUAGCAGCAAUGUUAAUGUGAAUAUCUUGAGUGGUGUUGGCAAUGGUACGAGUGCUUCCUCUAGUGUCAUUAACAAUGUUACUAAUCCAACUGCAGGAACGGCAGUAGGAUCAAGCCAGCAGCAGCCUGCAUCUGGCACAUCAAGGUUUAGGGUUGUAAAGUUAGAUUCUAGUUCUGAACCUUUCAAAAAAGGUAGAUGGACUUGCACUGAAUUCUAUGAUAAAGAAAACACUGUUGCAGUUUCAGAAGGAGUAGCAGUAAACAAAGCAGUAGAGACGAUAAAACAAAACCCGCUUGAAGUGACUUCUGAAAGGGAGAGCACCAGUGGGAGUUCUGUUAGCAGCAAUGUAAGCACACUGAGUCACUAUACAGAAAGUGUGGGAAGUGGAGAAAUGGGAGCACCUACUGUGGUACAGCAGCAAGCGUUUCAAGGUGUGGGUCCACAGCAGAUGGAUUUUAGCAGCACUGCUCCUCCAGCAAUUCCAGCAUCUAGUAUACCACAGAGUGUUUCUCAAUCACAGCUUGCACAAGUCCAGCUGCAUUCUCAAGAAGUAAACUAUCCACAGCAGAAGCCAGGGGUCCAGCCUCCUGCACAGGCCAGUCUAACCACUGUUACUGGGGUUCAGCCAUCCCCGGUUAAUAUGCUAGGUGUAUCCCCAUCUCUGGGCCACCAGCAACCUGCCAUUCAAAGUAUGGCUCAACAGCAGCUACCAUAUUCACAGCCAGCACAGCCUGUGCAGACCUUGCCAAUUGUACAACCGCAGCAGUUGCAGUAUGGACAACAGCAGCAGCAGACCGUUCCUACGCAGAUGGCUGCAGGUCAUGUUAAGCCGGUGAACCAAAACUCUGUUACGGGGGCUAUGCCAGACUACAUGCAACAUCAGCAGAUCCUUCAGACUCCAGCUCCUGCCAUGCAGCCUAGUUCUACAGGAGUAGGAGCAGGGCAACCAGUUCCUGUUGCCCAGGCACAGAGCAUACAGCCUUCAGUACAAGCACAUCCAGCUGCUGCCCCUGCUCAGCCUGUUGCACAUGCUCCAGCAGCAAUACCAGGUGUAGGUACUAGUGGUCAGAUGCUGAAUGUUGGGCAGCAGGGAAGUGUAGCUGCUGUGGUGCAGCCACCGUCCGCUGCAAACCAAAUUCCACCUCCAGUUAUGCCGUCAACGGCUGCUCCUCCAUCUUCACAAGUAGUGCAGCCUGUGCAGACAGGAAUAAUGCAGCAGGGAUUGCAGGCCAGCGCUUCAGGCCUCCCUCAGCAAAUGGUCAUUGCUCAGCAAAACACCUUGUUACCUGUACAGCCACAGGCACAAGGAGUGGAAUCUGUAGUUCAAGGGAUGACUGGCCAGCAGCUGCCUGCAGUUAGCCCUAUACCUUCUGCUAGUACUGUUCCUGCACCAAGUCAAGCUGGUUCAGCUGUCCCUCCUGGCAUACCUUCUGCUUCUAUAGGUUUGGGACAGCCACAGAACAUAACACAAGCUUCGUCUGCGCAGAAUGGGAAUUUGUCUCAAAGUGCUAGUCAGCCUCCCUUGAUAUCAGCAAGCAUAGGUAUGCCAGUGGCACAGAGUGUGCCACAGCAGAUGCCACUAAGUUCUACCCAGUUCCCUGCACAAUCACUAGCUCAGUCAAUUGUAAGCCAAAUUGAAGAUGGCAGACGCCCUACAGAACCUUCCUUAGUGGGUUUACCUCAAGCUGCCAGUGGCGACAGUGGUGUUGGAACAUCAGCUGCCUCAGAUGGUGGUAGCAGCAGCAACAUGCCAUCCUCUGCUUCACUCUUUCCGCUGAAGGUGCUGCCGUUGACGACACCUCUCGUAGAUGGUGAGGACGAGAGAUACAGAAUGACAGUCUCACACUGCACACUGGUAUGCCUGUGAAGAGGCACUGCCAAAGUUAAUUGUCUAGUGCAAAAGCUGGGAGUUCUGGCUGAUCAAAGCAGCUGCCCACAAAAGUAAAGAACCAUUGUGAGAGUUUGAAGAAAGAAUCCACUCAGAGGACUGAGUCUCAAGCAAAAGCUCCAGGUUGCAGACUCAGAAUGAAACUUCCUUUGGGGAAGGAUCUGCUUCCAGGAUUUGCUCGUCUCUUUUUCCUUGGGCAAACAGAGUUGUUGAAGCAAACAACAGGGUUGCAGGACACCUUCUAACCUUUAUACUGCAUCACAAGCCUUCAACAGAAGAUCUUGAGAGCCAUUUAUGUUGCUGGAAGAUGACUGGGUUUGGAUCUUGGCCUUCCUUAAGCAGGAUCUCCUGACAAAAUGGGAUUGGGAAAGACAUGACUCCUUUUUCCAUCACACAGAGCCAUCCUAGAAAUGGAGGCCUAGGUAGAAAAGUACUUCUAAUGCAUCAAUCCUUAGGAAAUUUGUUUGGCCUCUCAUGGUCCUUUUGUUGCUAUGUCAUAAAGAUGUCUUUUUAUAAAACCUAAACCUGGCAUCUUCCUAUCUGAAAAUCAAAUCAGUCCAAGUUUUGAGAGUUUACAGGUCUAAUAAUAUCACUGGAUUUUGCUGUCCUCUGUAUAGGAGAUGCCAUGUGAAUCUGUGAAACAGGCUUCUGCUGUGGUACAGACUGCAAUGUUUGUAAAGCCUUUUCUACUUAUAGUCCACUUGAAUAAUUAGAAGUAAUAAAACUUCUUGUGAAGAUGGUAUUUAAUUAGGCUUCCACCUCUCCAAGUUUACUUAAAAAUAAAGUUGAGCCAAAAAUGUCAAAACAGCAAUAUGAGAAAUACUGGCAUCUUUUGAGGUUUCCUGUGGGUAGUGUUGAGAAAAGGUCCUUUGAAAGUGUUGAGAGUUAUCAAAGUUGAAAAACUUAGGCUUUCAUUUAAGAGUGAAAAGUUACUUGCUAGAAAGCAGGAAGCUUCUAAUUGUUUUCCCCCUAAGGGAUUCUAUAGUCAAUUAAAUGUCUUAGGAGAUCACAAAUGAAACCCUUAUGUUUGGCAGUAGCGAAACAUACACGUUCAUGCCCAUGUACUCUUGUUUCUUUUGCUCGAGGAAAUUAGUGCUGAAGAAUAGGGCUUGCUUUCACAGUUCAGACUAGGAAAGGGGAAAGCUUUUGUUCCAAGGCCGAGUGUAAGAAGGGGUGACAGAGGGGUGAACCGAAUCCUCUGGCAACAGGUAAAGAGCGUUUGCAUUUUCCCGUUCUCUGCUUCUGGCAGUUGGGUAAACUAGUCAGAUGCUUGUGCUUGAAUCCAAUUAAUUUCUUAAAUCAGUUACCACAAAGCAUUGUUUUUUAACCAAUGCCUAGAUCUCUCCAGCGUGUUUAAUCUGAACAGUCUUAACCUAGCCCUGAGGCUACUGCUUCACGGCUCUUGUGACCUCUUACUAUGCUGGAAUGCAUUGCAAGUCUUAGUACAUCCUAAAAAUAAUUGUUCAGAUGGUGCUGCUUCAGUACAUACUUAGUGAGCCAUUUUCACUGGACUCUCUGAAACUCAGCUCUGUGGAUGGCUUUUUCAAAGCCCCCCCCCUUUUUUUUUUGCAGUGGCUAUCAAACUUUUGUCUUGCUGCUUCUGUGGUUAUCAAGUGAAACGCUAAGUUUAUAACCUCAUAUUUUUAGACAACUGGUAUCAGUCAGAUGCUGCAUGUGUUAAACUAUGCAGCCAUAGUAACACUGGUGAACUUUGAAGUUUAAAGAGAAAUGAGUUCCAUGUAUCUUAACUUUUAAUGUGUGGAAAUCUGUAUGUGACGACCUUAUAAUGGAGGUACAACUGUUAGAGGUUUGGACACUAAUUGCCUGCUGAACAGAAAUAAUCUAGAAGUUACAAGAGCAAGAUCCAUGAGCCUCAGAAAUAAAUACUAACAUCUGUGGCUAGAGAUCUGUGCCAGCAGUGCUUUUUAGCUGAAAAUAUCUUUAGUUUUCUAACUUCUAGUCCAUUUAAGGUUUGAUAUCAUUUGUGCCUUAAUAGGUAUACAUGCCUCUGCCACGGUUUUUGGUCAUUUUGUUCUGUAGUAAAAGAUCAAUUGAAGCCUCUGAAAUACUUACAAACACUAAAUAUUUACAGUAAAGUAACAGGGACACUGAGAACUGUUACUAAUGUUGUUGUCUCAGUUGUUAAAAUGACUUCACUCCCUGCCAGUCACAAUUAAGGGGGGGAAAAAAAAGGGGCAAAACCAAACCAAACCAAAAAACCACAACCACAACCAACCAAAAAACCUGUUAGUAUUUUGAUACUUGUCUAUCAGUAUUGUAUAAGCAUAUUAAUAUUAUGCUCUUGAGUUUUGCAGCUGGAAUCCUGGGUUCAUGAUAUAUUUUUAGAGCAAUAACUUCUGCCUUUGUGUUAUUAAAUAAAGAUGUCUAAAACCA